Molecule: ribosomal RNA, 460 nt
Filed under: uncultured bacterium
Lineage: Bacteria
Description: partial 16S ribosomal RNA
Rfam family: Bacterial small subunit ribosomal RNA
Source: RNAcentral
CCUACGGGGGGCAGCAGGGAGGAAUAUUGGUCAAUGGCCGAAAGGCUGAACCAGCCAAGUAGCGUGAAGGAAGACGGAUCUAUGGGUUGUAAACUUCUUUUAUAGGGGAAUAAAGGUAUCCACGUGUGGAUAUUUGCAUGUACCCUAUGAAUAAGCAUCGGCUAACUCCGUGCCAGCAGCCGCGGUAAUACGGAGGAUGCGAGCGUUAUCCGGAUUUAUUGGGGUUAAAGGGUGCGUAGGUGGUUUGUUAAGUCAGCUGUGAAAGUUUGUGGCUCAACCCUAAAAUUGCCGUUGAUACUGGAAGACUUGAGUGUGUUUGAGGUAGGCGGAAUUCGUGGUGUAGCGGUGAAAUGCAUAGAUAUCACGCAGAACUCCGAUUGCGAAGGCAGCUUACUAAGCCAUAACUGACACUGAAGCACGAAAGCGUGGGGAUCAAACAGGAUUAGAUACCCCUGUAGUC